Melanotaenia boesemani (Boeseman's rainbowfish) is the source of this 1326-nucleotide long non-coding RNA. RefSeq lists it as uncharacterized. NCBI's taxonomy places the organism in Eukaryota, Metazoa, Chordata, Actinopteri, Atheriniformes, Melanotaeniidae. The record is from RefSeq and is a predicted model, not a curated record. The transcript has 2 exons.
AUGGUCUACUGGACAUCUCAUCAACCAAGGACCUGUUCUGUGUUCACUACACUGUUCUUCCCGGACUUCAGACAGACUUGGGGAUCUUUACACAAGGCUGGAACCAUCAUCCACUCCGCACAGAAGGAAACCGGAGUCCAGAGCAGAUGUGGCAGAUUGGACUGAUGAACACAAAUGUUGUUCAGCCUGACAUACCAGAGGAGCCCGAUGUUGACUGGGAAAUGGCGGCAGACUACAAUGGAGAAGAUGAGGAUGCAGGAAUAGUUGUCCCUGAAUUUGAGUGCCCUUUGACUCCAGAAGACCUGUCUGAAAUUCAAUCAUUACUUGAGGAAACUGAUCCAGAAACUCCAGUCAGGGAACUUUACCUUCUUUGUCGUGAGUAUGUAGCUGCAAGAUGUAGCUCUUAACAAGUCGACAUGGAGGCAGUCAGCCUGUGACCUUGUUAAGGCAUUACGGAAGUCUGUUUCUUUCUCUUAAAACUGCACAGAGGAACUGGUUUGCUAAUUUGAAAGACAUUCACACAACUGUAUGUGAAAGGUAAAUAUGGCAUUCAAGACUGAUAUUCUUGUUUGUUUUAAAUCAGUUUGAUUGUAAUUCUUUCAUGCUUUUUAUGCUUGAUGUUUUUUGUAAAGCACUUUCAAUUGCUUAAACUGUGUGAUUUGUAAGUAAAUACUGGAUUAAAAUGAAACAGCUUAAUACAUCUUUGUUCAACUGCAAUAUUUAAAUUUACAUUUUUUUAAAGUGGCAUCAAAAUCAGGUUUUAAAAGAAUUAAGAACUUGGACAUCUGUGGUCCUCCUUCAUCUCUACUGCUGGUAACUGACUGCAGGUAAUGUUGGAGUGGCUGAUUUGUCUCAGCCAUCAGUUUUUUCUUCCCAGUACAAUGGCCAAACGCAGUAUAUGGGCUGUAGCUAAUCAAAAGUAGACAUGGAGGAAGCCAGUUUGUGGCAAUGGAGCAUUGUGGAGGUUCCUGUUGCUGCAAAAGCAGUAAAGUAAAAAUAUUCCAUCACACUGAUCAUCAAAUUAAAAAUAUUUAUUACAAAGGGAAAUUUAACAAUAAUGAGUGUAACACCACUUUUUUGUAUACAAAAGAUCUAAAUUGGGCCAUAUUAUGAAUUAACUGCAUUAGAAGCAAGGCCAAAGAGAAGACAGUUGAGUAAGAAAUUGUUCAAAAACAUAAAAACAAAUGUACACACAAUUCUGGUAACUUUCAUUAACCUGCUACUGUAUUGGACUUGUUAAACAAUGAUCAAACUGGGUGGUUUUUAAACUUUUAAACUUUAAUGACGUUUUCCUUGUGGCAUCUCCAACAAGUUAUGAAAAUGUCA